RNAcentral lists this ribosomal RNA (220 nucleotides) under uncultured fungus. Its description in RNAcentral is "partial 18S ribosomal RNA". It matches the Rfam family "Eukaryotic small subunit ribosomal RNA", at positions 609 to 835 of the family's 1831-position model. Lineage: Eukaryota; Fungi. The record is from RNAcentral.
GUUGUUGCAGUUAAAAGCUCGUAGUUGAAUUUCGGGGUUAGUAGGUUGGUCAUGCCUCUGGUAUGUACUGGUCUCACUGAUUCCUCCUUCCUUAUGAACCGUAAUGCCAUUAAUUUGGUGUUGCGGGGAAUUUGGACUGUUACUUUGAAAAAAUUAGAGUGUUUAAAGCAAGCUAACGCUUGGAUACAUUAGCAUGGAAUAAUGAAAUAGGACGUUCGAU